RNAcentral lists this ribosomal RNA (417 nucleotides) under uncultured bacterium. RNAcentral's name for it is "partial 16S ribosomal RNA". It matches the Rfam family "Bacterial small subunit ribosomal RNA", at positions 359 to 774 of the family's 1533-position model. The record is from RNAcentral.
UAUAGCUCUCAAUGGACGAAACUCUGAACCAGCUACGCCGUGUGCAGGUUGUCGGUCCUCUGGAUUGUCUACUGCUUUUGUAGAGGCAUAAAAAGAGCUACGAGUAGCACAUUGACGGUACUGUCAGAAUAACGAUCGGCUAAAUACGUGUCAGCAGCCGCGGUAAUACGGAGUAUUCAAGCGUUAUCCGGAAUCAUUGGGUUUAAAGGGUCCGUAGGCGGCCUUAUAAGUCAGCGGUGAAAGUUUUUGGCUUAACCAAAAAAUUGCCGUUGAUACUGUAGGGCUUGAAUUUUUGUGAAGUAACUAGAAUAUGUAGUGUAGCGGUGAAAUGCUUAGAUAUUACAUGGAAUACCAAUUGCGAAGGCAGGUUACUAACAAACGAUUAACGCUGAUGGACGAAAGCGUGGGUAGCGAACA